UACGGGAGGCAGCAGUAGGGAAUCUUCCACAAUGGGCGAAAGCCUGAUGGAGCAACGCCGCGUGAGUGAAGAAGGUUUUCGGAUCGUAAAACUCUGUUGUAAGGGAAGAACAAGUACAGUAGUAACUGGCUGUACCUUGACGGUACCUUAUUAGAAAGCCACGGCUAACUACGUGCCAGCAGCCGCGGUAAUACGUAGGUGGCAAGCGUUGUCCGGAAUUAUUGGGCGUAAAGCGCGCGCAGGCGGUCCUUUAAGUCUGAUGUGAAAGCCCACGGCUCAACCGUGGAGGGUCAUUGGAAACUGGGGGACUUGAGUGCAGAAGAGGAAAGUGGAAUUCCAAGUGUAGCGGUGAAAUGCGUAGAGAUUUGGAGGAACACCAGUGGCGAAGG
Molecule: ribosomal RNA, 389 nt
Filed under: Bacillus sp. F3PCF3
Lineage: Bacteria; Bacillati; Bacillota; Bacilli; Caryophanales; Bacillaceae
Description: bacterial SSU rRNA
Rfam family: Bacterial small subunit ribosomal RNA
Source: RNAcentral